This 158-nucleotide ribosomal RNA is filed under the name Mortierella sp. 1S11B. Its description in RNAcentral is "partial 5.8S ribosomal RNA". The record is from RNAcentral. Lineage: Eukaryota; Fungi; Mortierellomycota; Mortierellomycetes; Mortierellales; Mortierellaceae.
AUUGCGCUCUUUGGUAUUCCGAAGAGCAUGCUUGUUUGAGUAUCAGUAAACACCUCAACCUCCUCUUGAUUUUUCAAAAGGAGGGUGGACUUGAGCUAUCCCAACAACCUUUACCGGUAGGCGGGCGGCUUGAAAUGCAGGUGCAGCUGGACUUUUAU